This 460-nucleotide ribosomal RNA is filed under the name uncultured bacterium. Its description in RNAcentral is "partial 16S ribosomal RNA". It matches the Rfam family "Bacterial small subunit ribosomal RNA", at positions 338 to 795 of the family's 1533-position model. The record is from RNAcentral.
CCUACGGGUGGCAGCAGUGAGGAAUAUUGGUCAAUGGACGAGAGUCUGAACCAGCCAAGUAGCGUGAAGGAUGACUGCCCUAUGGGUUGUAAACUUCUUUUAUAUGGGAAUAAAACGUUCCACGUGUGGGAUUUUGUAUGUACCAUAUGAAUAAGGAUCGGCUAACUCCGUGCCAGCAGCCGCGGUAAUACGGAGGAUCCGAGCGUUAACCGGAUUUAUUGGGUUUAAAGGGAGCGUAGGUGGAUGGUUAAGUCAGUUGUGAAAGUUUGCGGCUCAACCGUAAAAUUGCAGUUGAAACUGGCAGUCUUGAGUACAGUAGAGGUGGGCGGAAUUCGUGGUGUAGCGGUGAAAUGCUUAGAUAUCACGAAGAACUCCGAUUGCGAAGGCAGUUCACUGGACUGCAACUGACACUGAGGCUCGAAAGUGUGGGUAUCAAACAGGAUUAGAUACCCUAGUAGUC